RNAcentral lists this ribosomal RNA (494 nucleotides) under uncultured bacterium. Its description in RNAcentral is "partial 16S ribosomal RNA". It matches the Rfam family "Bacterial small subunit ribosomal RNA", at positions 28 to 507 of the family's 1533-position model. The record is from RNAcentral.
GACGAACGCUGGCGGCGUGCUUGACACAUGCAAGUCGAACGGAAAGGCCUGCUUUCCCUUGUGGAUUGCGGGUACUCGAGUGGCGAACGGGUGAGUAACACGUGAGUGAUCUGCCCCCAACUUGGGUAUAAGCCUGGGAAACUGGGUCUAAUUCCCGAUAGGACUGCAGGGUGGUGCCUGUGGUGGAAAACGAUUUUCUAGUGGUUGGGGAUGAGCUCGCGGCCUAUCAGCUUGUUGGUGGGGUAAUGGCCUGCCAAGGCGGCGACGGGUAGCCGGCCUGAGAGGGUGGACGGCCACAUUGGGACUGAGAUACGGCCCAGACUCCUACGGGAGGCAGCAGUGGGGAAUAUUGCACAAUGGGCGGAAGCCUGAUGCAGCGACGCCGCGUGGGGGAUGACGGCCUUCGGGUUGUAAACUCCUUUCGACCGCGAGGAAGCCACCUGGUUGGAAGGGUGGUGACGGUAGUGGUAGAAGAAGCACCGGCUAACUACGUG